Molecule: non-coding RNA, 64 nt
Organism: Danionella cerebrum
Lineage: Eukaryota; Metazoa; Chordata; Actinopteri; Cypriniformes; Danionidae
Source: the annotation of a GenBank genome assembly
GCCUGGCUAGCUCAGUCGGUAGAGCAUGAGACUCGGGUCGUUGGUUAGAGGCCCACGUUGGGCG